ACAUGCUUCCUUAUAUGCCCAU
Molecule: microRNA, 22 nt
Filed under: Gadus morhua (Atlantic cod)
Lineage: Eukaryota; Metazoa; Chordata; Actinopteri; Gadiformes; Gadidae
Description: gmo-miR-206-5p
Gene: gmo-miR-206-5p
Source: miRBase by way of RNAcentral